GUAAGGAAUAUUGGACAAUGGGCGAAAGCCUGAUCCAGCCAUGCCGCGUGAGUGACGAAGGCCUUAGGGUUGUAAAGCUCUUUCAGCUGUGAGGAUAAUGACCGUAGCAGCAGAAGAAGCCCCGGCUAACUUCGUGCCAGCAGCCGCGGUAAUACGAAGGGUGCAAGCGUUAUCCGGAUUCAUUGGGUUUAAAGGGUGCGUAGGCGGAGCGUUAAGUCAGUGGUUAAAUCCUGCAGCUUAACUGUAGACUUGCCAUUGAUACUGGCGGUCUUGAGUGCGCUUGAAGUGGGCGGAAUGUGCCGUGUAGCGGUGAAAUGCUUAGAUAUGGCACAGAACACCAAUUGCGAAGGCAGCUCACUAAGGCGAUACUGACGCUGAGGCACGAAAGCGUGGGGAUCGAACAGGAUUAGAAACCCUUGUAGUCC
RNAcentral lists this ribosomal RNA (425 nucleotides) under uncultured bacterium. Its description in RNAcentral is "partial 16S ribosomal RNA". It matches the Rfam family "Bacterial small subunit ribosomal RNA", at positions 354 to 796 of the family's 1533-position model. The record is from RNAcentral.